CCAAUAGCGUAUAUUAAAGUUGUUGCAGUUAAAAAGCUCGUAGUUGAACCUCGGGAUCAAUGGGUCGGUCAUGCCAAUGGUAUGUACUGGCCUCAUUGGUUCUCACCUUCUAAGGAACCAUGAUGUCAUUCAUUUGAUGUUGUGGGGAAUUAGGACUGUUACCUUGAAAAAAUUAGAGUGUUUAAAGCAGGCUAACGCUUGAAUACAUUAGCAUGGAAUAAUGAAAUAGGACAUCGCAUUCUAUUUUGUUGGUUUCUAGGAUCGAUGUAAUGAUUAAUAGGGAUAGUUGGUGGCAUUAGUAUUCAAUUGUCAGAGGUGAAAUUCUUGGAUUUAUUGAAGACUAACUACUGCGAAAGCAUUUGCCAAGGAUGUUUUCAGUAAUCAAGAACGAAAGUUAGGGGAUCGAAGACGAUCAGAUACCGUCGUAGUCUUAACCAUAAACUAUGCCGACUAGGGAUCGGAUGAUGUUGAUUUUUUAAUGACUCAUUCGGCACCUUACG
RNAcentral lists this ribosomal RNA (500 nucleotides) under uncultured Glomeromycotina. Its description in RNAcentral is "partial small subunit ribosomal RNA". It matches the Rfam family "Eukaryotic small subunit ribosomal RNA", at positions 591 to 1092 of the family's 1831-position model. The record is from RNAcentral. Lineage: Eukaryota; Fungi; Glomeromycota.